GUGCUCACUUUGGCAGCACAUAUACUAAAAUUGGAAAGAUACAGAGAAGGCACCCGCCAAGAAUGACUCGCAAAUUCCUGAAGCGUUCCAUAUUUUU
Erinaceus europaeus (western European hedgehog) is the source of this 97-nucleotide small nuclear RNA. NCBI's taxonomy places the organism in Eukaryota, Metazoa, Chordata, Mammalia, Eulipotyphla, Erinaceidae. The record is from Ensembl.